Molecule: transfer RNA, 73 nt
Filed under: Candidatus Parabeggiatoa communis
Lineage: Bacteria; Pseudomonadati; Pseudomonadota; Gammaproteobacteria; Thiotrichales; Thiotrichaceae
Also listed under: 3 other names
Description: tRNA-Phe
Rfam family: tRNA
About the family: Transfer RNA (tRNA) molecules are approximately 80 nucleotides in length.
Source: RNAcentral
GGUCGGGUAGCUCAGUCGGUAGAGCAAAGGACUGAAAAUCCUUGUGUCGAGUGUUCGAAUCACUCUCCGACCA